CCUACGGGCGGCUGCAGUAAGGAAUAUUGGUCAAUGGACGAAAGUCUGAACCAGCCAUCCCGCGUGCAGGAUGACUGCCCUAUGGGUUGUAAACUGCUUUUAGCAGAGACGAAACGCCUUCAUUUAUGAGGGUCUGACGGUAUCUGCAGAAUAAGCACCGGCUAACUCCGUGCCAGCAGCCGCGGUAAUACGGAGGGUGCAAGCGUUAUCCGGAAUCACUGGGUUUAAAGGGUGCGUAGGCGGAUAUUUAAGUCAGUGGUGAAAUCUUGUCGCUUAACGAUAAAAUUGCCAUUGAUACUGAAUGUCUUGAAUUGGGUUGAGGUUAGCGGAAUGUGACAUGUAGCGGUGAAAUGCAUAGAUAUGUCAUGGAACACCAAUUGCGAAGGCAGCUAGCUGGGCCUUGAUUGACGCUGAGGCACGAAAGCGUGGGUAGCGAACAGGCUUAGAUACCCCAGUAGUC
This 460-nucleotide ribosomal RNA is filed under the name uncultured Bacteroidota bacterium. RNAcentral's name for it is "bacterial SSU rRNA". It matches the Rfam family "Bacterial small subunit ribosomal RNA", at positions 338 to 795 of the family's 1533-position model. Lineage: Bacteria; Pseudomonadati; Bacteroidota. The record is from RNAcentral.